AUGAACGCUGGCGGCGUGCUUAACACAUGCAAGUCGAACGAAGCACUUUAUUUGAUUUCCUUCGGGACUGAUUAUUUUGUGACUGAGUGGCGGACGGGUGAGUAACGCGUGGGUAACCUGCCUUGUACAGGGGGAUAACAGUUGGAAACGGCUGCUAAUACCGCAUAAGCGCACAGCAUCGCAUGAUGCAGUGUGAAAAACUCCGGUGGUAUAAGAUGGACCCGCGUUGGAUUAGCUAGUUGGUGAGGUAACGGCCCACCAAGGCGACGAUCCAUAGCCGACAUGAGAGGGUGACCGGCCACAGUGGGACUGAGACACGGACAAAACUCCUACGGGAGGCAGCAGUGGGGAAUAUUGCACAAUGGGCGAAAGCCUGAUGCAGCGACGCAGCGUGAGCGAAGAAGUAUUUCGGUAUGUAAAGCUCUAUCAGCAGGGAAGAUAAUGACGGUACCUGACUAAGAAGCACCGGCUAAAUACGUG
Molecule: ribosomal RNA, 480 nt
Filed under: uncultured bacterium
Lineage: Bacteria
Description: partial 16S ribosomal RNA
Rfam family: Bacterial small subunit ribosomal RNA
Source: RNAcentral